UAUUUGAAGUAAAAGUCUUGGAAAAACUUGAUUUUUCAUUGUAAAUCAUUCCCAUUGAAUAUUUGAACGUAAUUUUUACUGCUGUUCGACAGCAGUAAAAAACGAAGGUUCUGUACGUACUCUUGAGCAAAAUUCCCAUUUUUUCCGUACCCUCGUAAAAUUAUUAACAAUCAUAGUAAUAAUGGUUAUGAAAAUAAAACCAUGAUACUUAGUAGUGACAGCUGCUUUUCAGUUUGCAGUCCUCGCAGAACUUUUUAUGAAAAAAUAACUUUUUUUACUGAAAUCAAUUAUAAAAAAGUUUUCUUCCAAAUGGUUCCAACCUACUGAGACAUACUAUAUAUCUUCCUCAACGUUAUAAUUCUUCUGAUCAUUUUGAAAGAGAAAUGAUUACAAUCCGUCCAUUUGCAGUUGAAAAAUGAACAGAAAAAUUCCAAUAAACGUGAUAUACCCAAGUUUUACACACUUUUUACAGUUGUCGAGCUGUUGCGAAUGUCAAAAUUAAAUAGGUUCCCAUGAAGCUCAAUUUCGAUUCCAAUUUUUUUAAAUAAGGUCUAGAUUUGAAAUGAUGUUCAGGAGAAAUUGUAUUGUAUUAUAUUGUAUGAUAAAUAUGAAUUAAACGUUUUUAUGAAACCCAA
Long non-coding RNA from Leptinotarsa decemlineata (Colorado potato beetle), 635 nucleotides. NCBI's taxonomy places the organism in Eukaryota, Metazoa, Arthropoda, Insecta, Coleoptera, Chrysomelidae. The record is from RefSeq and is a predicted model, not a curated record.